This 84-nucleotide transfer RNA is filed under the name Armatimonadota bacterium. Its description in RNAcentral is "tRNA-Leu". It matches the Rfam family "tRNA". Rfam says of the family: Transfer RNA (tRNA) molecules are approximately 80 nucleotides in length. Their secondary structure includes four short double-helical elements and three loops (D, anti-codon, and T loops). The record is from RNAcentral. Lineage: Bacteria; Bacillati; Armatimonadota.
GCCGAGGUGGCGGAAUAGGUAGACGCACGGGACUUAAAAUCCCGGGGGCUGCGGCCCGUACCGGUUCGACUCCGGUCCUCGGCA